Molecule: long non-coding RNA, 1065 nt
Organism: Hyla sarda
Lineage: Eukaryota; Metazoa; Chordata; Amphibia; Anura; Hylidae
Exons: 3
Source: RefSeq, a predicted model, not a curated record
GAGUCUUUAGCCAGGACCCAAGGAGCUCAAACCAGAGGAAGCACCGUUCAGGUGUGAAACUUGUUGUUUGUCUCGGAACCCUCCACACCUCAUGCCUUGUUUUUCCUUAUGAAAAUCUUGGAAAAAUAAAAACCUCAUCAUUGCAACUACAGAGGAGACCAUACCUCGCACUCUACAAAAAUCUUUACACACAUUCAGAUUUGUACUGCAUUGACCUAUUUUCUGGCCUCAUUUCAAGCCUCCCCUGAUUCCUCCGCAGAAUCUUCCUCCGUCCUUCAUCUUCUACAGUUCUGAUGACCCAAAUACAACCUUUCAUAUACUUAAAUAGCAGGACCGGUUCCCCCCGUUCGCUCCCCUCCUCAGCAUAUUUAACCCCGUGUUCUUCACACACAGCACAUGUCCCCAGUGAACCGAGAUCUGAAGAUGUUCUGCUCCUCGCAUCAAAUCCAGCAGUGACUGUCAGGAUGAAAGGAAAGAAGAAUCUUCAGAACUCAGGGUAGUGGAGAGAGACAGUCGGCUUAAGAUUCAAGCGUGAUUGUCACGUCCUUGCCAGCUCGCUGACAUUGUCCCGGAGUCAUCAUGUACAAGUAAAGGGGCCGACUCCAGGGCGCCAAGUAAAAACCGGUGCCAAUUGCAAAAUGAACAUAUCCAGUUACAGCAAAAAGAGAUAAACCAACAUUGUCAGGGGCGACACGCAGAUACGCCAGAAGGAGAAUAACCUUGAAAUACAAGAUGGCCGCUGGACCGCGCUUUGUUGGCAUCAGUUUGCUGUUAUAAGAUAAAGAUUUUAGUGCCGCACGUUAUGGGCCUAAGGGCUCAGUCACUUUGGGCGGCAACUUUACUGCAGAUUUAAGUGCAACGGAACAUGUUGUUUUUGGUUUUUUUUUAAAUAAAACCUAUUUUCUGCAUCAUGGAUUUUGCUACAGAUCUGCAGCAUUUCUGCAACAAAAUCUACAACACCUGUGGAAUUUUCAGACUCUUCCAUUACAAAUCCUGUCGGUAGCUCGAUUUUCUGCACAUUUUGGACGACACAAGAAGUAUCCACUGUGGAAAAUCCGCACCCGC